This 551-nucleotide ribosomal RNA is filed under the name Engraulis encrasicolus (European anchovy). RNAcentral's name for it is "partial 16S ribosomal RNA". It matches the Rfam family "Bacterial large subunit ribosomal RNA", at positions 1808 to 2564 of the family's 2925-position model. Lineage: Eukaryota; Metazoa; Chordata; Actinopteri; Clupeiformes; Engraulidae. The record is from RNAcentral.
CAAAAACAUCGCCUCUUGCAUUCCAAAGUAUAAGAGGUCCCACCUGCCCUGUGACUCUAAGUUUAACGGCCGCGGUAUUCUAACCGUGCGAAGGUAGCGCAAUCAAUUGCCUUUUAAAUGAAGGCCUGUAUGAAUGGUAUAACGAGGGUCUAGCUGUCUCUUUUUUCUAGUCAGUUAAACUGAUCUGUCCGUGCAGAAGCGGACAUAAAUAUACAAGACGAGAAGACCCUAUGGAGCUUUAGACACUAGCCAACUGUGAAUAAGCGACUGAACUGAACAAGUCCUAAAUACCCGCAGCCUUAUGGUGAUGUAGUCUUAGGUUGGGGCGACCACGGGAGAAAGUAAAGCUCCCAAGCAGACCGGGAAAACCCUUAAGCCGAGAGUUGCAACUCUAAGCCGCAAAAUUUUUGACUGAAAUGAUCCGGUUGAAAAACCGAUUAACGAACCAAGUUACCCUAGGGAUAACAGCGCAAUCCUCUCCCAGAGUCCCUAUCGACGAGGGGGUUUACGACCUCGAUGUGGAUCAGGACAUCCUAAUGGUGCAGCCGCUA